RNA transcript from Numida meleagris (helmeted guineafowl), 3970 nucleotides. It is a transcript of the gene named caspase recruitment domain family member 9, with no coding region annotated. The record is from RefSeq and is a predicted model, not a curated record. NCBI's taxonomy places the organism in Eukaryota, Metazoa, Chordata, Aves, Galliformes, Numididae. The transcript is spliced from 12 exons.
ACCAGGCUUGGAUUCUUCCCUGACUCUUCCACAGCCUGCCCAUACAGCCAUCAGCAAAUCAAGCUUUUACUAAGUGUUUCCUCAUUCAUAAAACAGUAACUUCUGUCUUACAGAGAGGUGCAAGGCUAGCUGAGUCAAAGCUGGUAAAAAUCCAACGGGAAGAUGCUGCAGGAGGCUUCACCCACUGCAUUGCCCAGGGUCACGGCAGCACGCUGGGUGUGCUGUGAGGUCCAGCUUUUGUGAGGCCCCUUUAGGUAGAGCUUUCCAGAGGGACAUUAACAUUACUCUAACUGGAUACCAACCAAUUGGUGGAGCAGGAGGAAGUACCUUGAGGUGGCUUUCCUCUUGCAGUGUGCUCUAUUUUCCACAAGCCACUCCAGCUGACCCUUUUUUUUCCAAGAAGUUCACGUGGCUGAAGCUCUGCCCACUGUGCUGUGUGCCAUUCACCGCAGGGCUGUUACUGUCAGGCGCCUCUGGUACAUGUGACCUGUGCUUGUUUUGUCCCCUGAAGUAAGCUGGGCAGACCAGUGCCUGUGCCCUUCACUCUUCGUAGUCUACACAAAGAAACUCUCCUGACCAUAGCUGCUACUUCCUUGGUACAGACUGGAAAACCAAGGCGCAGUGGGUAUAAGAUAAGUAAUCCUGGCGACUUGCAGCGUCAUCAGCUUCCAUCCUCCUCCCCCAUCAUCCCUUCUGACUUCCUUUUUUCUUCCUCUCUCCCUUUCUCAUCUCAGAGCAUAGCUGAGUAGUUUCCUCUUUUCUCACAGAUUGGCUCCUGGAAUGACCCGCUCUCCCGCAGCAUAAAGGAAGGCUGCAGCCCAGGCAGGUUUCCACAGAGACGGGACCCAAUAAAUGUUCUCAGACCAGGAGAAGAGGAGUGAAGGCCUCUGACCACGCAGGCCCAGGAAGGGCAAAGCGGCUCACUAAUACUUCUCGCUCACCGCCAUGCUGGAAGAAGACAACGAUGAGACAUGUUGGAAUAGCCUGGAAACCUUCCGGGUGAAGCUGAUCUCCGUGAUAGAUCCUUCCCGUAUAACGCCCUACCUUCGCCAGUGCCAGGUGAUAAACCAUGACGAUGAGGAACAAGUCCUCAAUGACCCCAGCCUGGUCAUGCGCAAACGCAAAGCAGGUGUUCUUCUGGACAUUCUUCAGCGGACAGGGCGCAAGGGCUUCGAGGCAUUCAUGGAGAGUCUCGAGCUUUAUUAUCCACAACUGUAUAAGAAAAUAACAGGCAAGGAGCCAAGCAGGGUUUUCUCUCUGAUUAUAGACACAGCUGGGGAAUCCGGCCUGAGCCAGCUCCUGAUGAAUGAGAUCACAAAGCUGCAGAGAACGGUGCAAGAGGAGCGGCAGAAGGCCCAGGAGCUCACUGUGUGGCUGCACACCAAGGAGAACAUGAUCAGAGAGAUGUGGGUGAGGGACAGCCUGCUCCGCAAGCACCAAGAGCGGGUGCAGAAGAUGAAGGAGGAGAGGGACAGUCUGAGCAAGGAGCUGCGGAAGUGCAAGGAUGAGAACUACAACCUGGCAAUGAGCUAUGCCAAACAGAGCGAGGAGAAAAGCAAUGCCCUCAUGAAGAACCGGGACCUGCUCCUAGAGAUUGAUAGCUUGAAGCACAGCCUCAUGAAGGCUGAGGAUGACUGCAAACUAGAGCGUAAGCACUCAAUGAAACUGAAGCAUGCCAUAGAGCAGCGUCCAAGCCAUGAAGUGAUGUGGGAGAUCCAGCAGGAGAAGGAGUUGCUUUUGGCCAAGAAUCAGGAGCUGGAGAACACUCUGCAGCAGGCUGCCAGGGAACAGAACUUGGAGAAGAGUCUCUCCCAUGAGACUGUGCAGAAUGACUGCAGCCAGGUACUGGAACGCCGGGACCUGCUGAACACCGUGUACCACCUUCGCAAGGAGCUGCGCCAAGCCGAGGUGCUCCGAGACAAACAUGCAGAGGAAAGAGAGAUGCUUGAACUACAGUGCACGUCUCUGAGGAAGGAUUCCCAGAUGUAUAAAAAACGGAUGGAAGCUGUCUUACAUCAGAUGGAGGAAGUGGCUUUGGAAAGAGACGAGGCACUGCUGACCAGAGAACAGUUCUACACACAGUACUCCAAGAACCUGAUUGAGAGGGACGCCUAUCGGAAGCAGAUUCGGGAGCUGGGGGAGCGAUGCGAUGAGCUGCAGCUGCAGCUCUUCCAAAAGGAGAGUCAGCUACUGGCUACUGAAGCCAAGCUGAAAAGGUUGCAACUGAAGCUACCUGCACUGACUUCUGACCCGGAUGACUCCUUCUCCAGAGAUUCCCAGGAUCUUACUCUUCAUGGUCAUCUAGAUGAAGAUACACACCUGACUAAAAGUAAGGCUUUUACUGAGGAAAACACACAGUACAGUUCUUGAUGGGGCUGUUCAGAGGGACAGGAGAAGAUGUGCUUCUUAUUUUAGUGAAGAGGUAUUUCGACUGGGGACUCAGUUUGUGAGCGAUGCUUCUCAGUGGGGCACACUUGGCACCUCCUCGAGAUGACGCAGAAUAGGUGCACGUAAAUCAAGGCUUCUAGAACCCCGAGGCAUUCUGCUGUCCCACCAUCCUUCUCACCUAUAAAAAGAAGAGCGUGUUCACAAAUACUGGGAACAGUGAAUGCUUGUACAGCUUUUUUUAGAGGGAAAAAUCUCUACGUGUUAUUUGCUGUGUGGUCUCUGAAAUGGUCUUUUGUAUAGGUGAACAACUUGGAAAAAGUGGUGAUGUCAGACCAUCCUAGGUCCUUUAGUCUUUUCUCAGUCAUCUGCCUUCAGAAUUUGUUCAGGAAAAAUCACCUGGUACACGAUGCCUGUGAGGAACAGCCCCUGGGUGCCUCUUCUUCACACAGUCCUCUUGUGUUUGUGGCUGAGCUGAGAAUGGAACGAGCGUCCUUCCACCCCAGCUGAACCACGUGGCUUUCUCCAGAGCCAUUUCUUUGCUUUCUUUUAUGCUGCAGGCUAUUUUCACAAAAGCAGAACCAUGUCAUUAGUACUGUCACCGGUUCUGUUUUUGUGGCAGCCCUACUGGAAAUGAUUCAGCAGUGCGGAGAAGAAUAAACAGAGCCCUUUAAAACUUGAGAUUCUCCUUUGAAACAUGUUGAGAAAGGAAGGAAACAAGCAAAGAUCCCCUACAUUCUAAGUAAUCAUUCAUUGAGAUGGGAGAUUUUUCACACAAGCUACAAUAUUGAAACAGAAUGCCUUCUAUUAAUCUACCUCACUCAAUUCAAAAUUACAUACCUCAGUAUCUGAUCACUACAUUAGGAGUUUUGCUAAAAUAUGACCUGAUAUUGAAUAUCUUAUUAUGCACAACUUAGUUGCUGGGGAACAGGGACAAACUGUGGUUAUAGUAAUGUUUAGCGUGAUUUCUUAUGGUUAUCUCCAACAUUAUUCUUUUAGUGGUGUUAGAUGCUGCUCCGCAGUGGUUCAUUUUGCUGCUCCUCAUGCAGAAAUUAGAUGGUGUCUCUGGUGGGGAAUUCCAUCACCCUAAGCAAGACUCAGAGGUCAAGUAAAAGAGUCUUGUGCAAUGAUCACGAGAUCGAAUACUGAACGUUUCGAAGCUUGAGUUCAGCUUGCUGUUGAUGCUGUGUACUGUUGAGCAGCUCUUACAUCACAGCUAUUGCUGUUUAGUGAACUGGUGGAAGGAGAAGUUACUUCAACAUGGCUACUAUGACUGAAAUUGUGAUUUAUUUUCUCAUAGAAGACUGCUGUAAAGGACAAAACCAGCAAUACAGCAUUCGAGAAAGCAAUCUGCCUGCAGAGUCACCUACUUGUGAGGAGUGCAGCUUGGCCCACGAGGACCUGUCCGAGAAGGAGCGGAGGAGGAUGAAGGACUGCUUCGAGCGUUACCGGAGGAAGCGUGCGCUGCGCAGAGUGCCCGCGGGCCGCCGUCCCGAGGCCGACUGGGAGCUCAGCUCGGGCAGCGACAACACCGACCCCGAGGGCAGCUAGGGGCUGUGAGCCCCCACACGGCGCUCGGCCGAGG